RNAcentral lists this transfer RNA (72 nucleotides) under Chlamydomonas nivalis. RNAcentral's name for it is "tRNA-Asn". It matches the Rfam family "tRNA". From Rfam's summary of the family: Transfer RNA (tRNA) molecules are approximately 80 nucleotides in length. Their secondary structure includes four short double-helical elements and three loops (D, anti-codon, and T loops). The record is from RNAcentral. Lineage: Eukaryota; Viridiplantae; Chlorophyta; Chlorophyceae; Chlamydomonadales; Chlamydomonadaceae.
UCUCCAGUAGCUCAGUGGUAGAGCAAUCGGCUGUUAACCGAUUGGUCGUAGGUUCAAUCCCUACCUGGGGAG